RNAcentral lists this ribosomal RNA (274 nucleotides) under uncultured bacterium. RNAcentral describes it as "partial 16S ribosomal RNA". It matches the Rfam family "Bacterial small subunit ribosomal RNA", at positions 523 to 796 of the family's 1533-position model. The record is from RNAcentral.
AUACGGAGGGUGCAAGCGUUAAUCGGAAUUACUGGGCGUAAAGCGCGCGUAGGCGGUUUGAUCAGUCGGAUGUGAAAGCCCUGGGCUCAACCUGGGAACUGCAUUCGAUACUGUCAGACUAGAAUAUGGUAGAGGGUAGUGGAAUUCCUGGUGUAGCGGUGAAAUGCGUAGAUAUCAGGAGGAACAUCAGUGGCGAAGGCGGCUACCUGGACCAAUAUUGACGCUGAGGUGCGAAAGCGUGGGGAGCAAACAUGAUUAGAUACCCUAGUAGUCC